GAAAAAUCGUCAUCUGCGAUCGUGGAGGCAACGCGAGAGUAGAGAAGGGAACAGCCGUCAAAAUGGCUCUCGGUGCCGGAAUGAUACUGGCCAACACUGGAGACAGCGGGGAAGAGCUCAUCGCCGACUCACAUCUUCUCCCAGCCACCAUGGUGGGCCAGAUCGCCGGCGAUAAAAUCAAAGAAUACGUUAAAUCAAAGGCAUUUCCCACUGCAACCAUUGUCUUCCGCGGCACUGUGAUAGGAACUUCACCGCCUGCGCCCAAAGUCGCAGCGUUCUCCAGCCGCGGCCCCAACCACCUCACCCCCGAAAUUCUUAAACCGGAUGUCAUAGCCCCAGGCGUUAACAUCUUGGCAGGUUGGACCGGGUCCAAGGCUCCAACCGAUUUAGACGUCGAUCCGAGACGAGUCGAGUUCAAUAUAAUUUCUGGCACCUCCAUGUCCUGCCCGCACGUAAGCGGAUUGGCCGCUUUGCUUCGAAAAGCCUACCCGAAAUGGACCCCAGCUGCCAUAAAGUCUGCCCUGAUGACAACCGCUUACAACUUGGACAACUCCGGCAACAACAUCGCCGAUCUGGCCACCGGCAACCAAUCAUCACCGUUCAUUCACGGCGCUGGCCACGUGGAUCCCAACAGAGCUCUCUACCCAGGAUUGGUCUACGACAUUGACGCCAACGACUACAUAUCAUUCCUCUGCGCC
This 698-nucleotide long non-coding RNA is filed under the name Vitis vinifera (wine grape). RNAcentral describes it as "long non-coding RNA (VVIN_LNC002715)". Lineage: Eukaryota; Viridiplantae; Streptophyta; Magnoliopsida; Vitales; Vitaceae. The record is from RNAcentral.